Molecule: ribosomal RNA, 782 nt
Filed under: actinobacterium SCGC AAA043-L13
Lineage: Bacteria; Bacillati; Actinomycetota; Actinomycetes
Description: bacterial SSU rRNA
Rfam family: Bacterial small subunit ribosomal RNA
Source: RNAcentral
GUCGAGCGAUGAGAUCCCUUCGGGGAAGGAUUAGCGGCGAACGGGUGAGGAACACGUGAGGAAUCUGCCUUCAACACUGGGAUAACUCCGGGAAACCGGGGCUAAUACCGGAUACGAAACUCGGUGGCAUCACUGAGUUUGGAAAGUUUUUCGGUUGAAGAUGACCUCGCGGCCUAUCAGCUUGUUGGUGAGGUAAUGGCUCACCAAGGCGACGACGGGUAGCCGGCCUGAGAGGGCGACCGGCCACACUGGGACUGAGACACGGCCCAGACUCCUACGGGAGGCAGCAGUGGGGAAUAUUGGGCAAUGGAGGAAACUCUGACCCAGCGACGCCGCGUGCGGGAUGAAGGCCUUCGGGUUGUAAACCGCUUUCAGCAGGGAAGAAGCGAAAGUGACGGUACCUGCAGAAGAAGCACCGGCUAACUAUGUGCCAGCAGCCGCGGUAAUACAUAGGGUGCAAGCGUUGUCCGGAAUUAUUGGGCGUAAAGAGCUCGUAGGUGGUUCGUCACGUCGGAUGUGAAAAUCUGGGGCUCAACCCCAGACCUGCAUUCGAUACGGGCGAUCUAGAGUGUGGUAGGGGAGACUGGAAUUCCUGGUGUAGCGGUGGAAUGCGCAGAUAUCAGGAGGAACACCAAUGGCGAAGGCAGGUCUCUGGGCCAUUACUGACACUGAGGAGCGAAAGCGUGGGGAGCGAACAGGAUUAGAUACCCUGGUAGUCCACGCCGUAAACGGUGGGCACUAGUUGUGGGAACCUUCCACGGUUUCUGCGACGCAGCUAACGC